This 110-nucleotide ribosomal RNA is filed under the name Colobus angolensis palliatus. The record is from RNAcentral. Lineage: Eukaryota; Metazoa; Chordata; Mammalia; Primates; Cercopithecidae.
GUCUGUGGCCGUGGCACCCUGAACAUGCCUGAUCUCAUCUGAUCUCGGAAGCUAAGCACGGUCAGGCCUGGUUAGUACUUGGAUGGGAGAAAAAAAAGUGGAUAUAAGUA